GACGGAGGAUGCAAGUGUUAUCCGGAAUGAUUGGGCGUAAAGCGUCCGCAGGUGGCUGUGUAAGUCUGCUGUCAAAGAGCGAAGCUCAACUUCGUAAAGGCAGUGGAAACUACACGGCUAGAGUGCGUUCGGGGCAGAGGGAAUUCCUGGUGUAGCGGUGAAAUGCGUAGAGAUCAGGAAGAACACCGGUGGCGAAGGCGCUCUGCUAGGCCGCAACUGACACUGAGGGACGAAAGCUAGGGGAGCGAAUGGG
RNAcentral lists this ribosomal RNA (253 nucleotides) under uncultured bacterium. RNAcentral describes it as "partial 16S ribosomal RNA". It matches the Rfam family "Bacterial small subunit ribosomal RNA", at positions 524 to 776 of the family's 1533-position model. The record is from RNAcentral.